UACGUAGGGCGCAAGCGUUGUCCGGAAUUAUUGGGCGUAAAGAGCUCGUAGGCGGUUUGUCGCGUCUGCUGUGAAAACUCGAGGCUCAACCUCGGGCUUGCAGUGGGUACGGGCAGACUAGAGUGCGGUAGGGGGAGACUGGAAUUCCUGGUGUAGCGGUGGAAUGCGCAGAUAUCAGGAGGAACACCGAUGGCGAAGGCAGGUCUCUGGGCCGCAACUGACGCUGGAGGAAGCGGAAAGCAUGGGGAGCGAACAGG
RNAcentral lists this ribosomal RNA (257 nucleotides) under uncultured bacterium. RNAcentral describes it as "partial 16S ribosomal RNA". It matches the Rfam family "Bacterial small subunit ribosomal RNA", at positions 524 to 776 of the family's 1533-position model. The record is from RNAcentral.